This is a ribosomal RNA of 405 nucleotides. It matches the Rfam family "Microsporidia small subunit ribosomal RNA", at positions 755 to 1311 of the family's 1311-position model.
UAGUUAUGUUCUUGAAACUCAAAGAAUUUGGCGGUGUUUUAGUCUAUUCAGAGGAACCUGUCCCAUAAUCGAUAAUUCACGAAUAAUUAUACUUAAUUUUGUAAUAUCAGUUUGUAUACCGCCGUCAUUAGAUUAUCUUUGUAGAGGUAGUAAUUUUCUUGAGGUUUGAGUGAGUUAUAUGUCAGGUCAAGGUGCAGUUUAUGAUUAAGGGGAGAUGGGUUACAAUAAAAGUAUUUAUAUGGAUAGUAAAUUAAAUAAUAAAUUGAAGGUGGAUUUGAUAGUAAUGUUAUUUAAUUUGAUAAUUUGAUUAAAGCUCUAAAGCAUGUACACAUCGCCCGUCGCUCUCGUUAUAAGGCGAGAUAAGUCGUAACAUAGUAGAUGUACUGGAAAGUGUAUCUAGAAAGU